CGAGUGGCGGACGGGUGCGUAACGCGUAGGAAUCUGCCUAUUAGUGGGGGAUAACAGCUGGAAACGGCUGCUAAUACCGCAUACGCCCUUCGGGGGAAAGAUUUAUCGCUAUUUGAGGGUCCUGCGUUCGAUUAGCUUGUUGGCGGGGUAACGGCCCACCAAGGCGACGAUCGAUAGCUGGUCUGAGAGGAUGAUCAGCCACACUGGGACUGAGACACGGCCCAGACUCC
RNAcentral lists this ribosomal RNA (230 nucleotides) under uncultured bacterium. RNAcentral's name for it is "partial 16S ribosomal RNA". It matches the Rfam family "Bacterial small subunit ribosomal RNA", at positions 92 to 339 of the family's 1533-position model. The record is from RNAcentral.